CUUAUAUCAGAAUAGUUUGCCACAGAAAGAAUGUUUCUCACGAUUUCUGGAAAAAGGCUUUGAUCAGUUUUAACAAUAUCUCGAGCCUGGUUUAAACGAGUAAGAUGUUCGUCUGUCUCCGAAACUUCCAUACCAGGACUAACAGAGAAUUUAAGAUGAUAAUUAUAUUAAAUACUUAUAUGCUUAUUGAUCAAUUUCUCAAGUAAAUGUUAAAACUUUGCAUCCUCUUUUUACUUUGCUGUCGGUUCAAAUUUUGGUAAGAGAGGGAAUACAUAGCGCAGUGGUUUAAGGAUCGUUAAUAUGUAGUGACUAUAUAUAACGAUGGAAU
Schizosaccharomyces pombe (fission yeast) is the source of this 328-nucleotide non-coding RNA. Lineage: Eukaryota; Fungi; Ascomycota; Schizosaccharomycetes; Schizosaccharomycetales; Schizosaccharomycetaceae. The record is from the annotation of a GenBank genome assembly.